RNAcentral lists this small RNA (125 nucleotides) under Marmota monax (woodchuck). Lineage: Eukaryota; Metazoa; Chordata; Mammalia; Rodentia; Sciuridae. The record is from RNAcentral.
GCCGGACAUGGUGGCGUAUGCCUGUAAUCCCAAUGGCUAGGGAGGCUGAGGCAGGAGGAUCGCAAGUUCAAAGCCAGCCUCAGCAAAAGUGAGGCACUAAGCAACUCAGUGAGACCCUGUCUCUA